AACGAACGCUGGCGGCAUGCCUAACACAUGCAAGUCGAACGAGAUCUUCGGGUCUAGUGGCGCACGGGUGCGUAACGCGUGGGAAUCUGCCCUUUGGUUCGGAAUAACAGUUGGAAACGACUGCUAAUACCGGAUGAUGACGAAAGUCCAAAGAUUUUUCGCCAGAGGAUGAGCCCGCGUAGGAUUAGCUAGUUGGUGUGGUAGAGGCGCACCAAGGCGACGAUCCUUAGCUGGUCUGAGAGGAUGAUCAGCCACACUGGGACUGAGACACGGCCCAGACUCCUACUGGAGGGAGCAGUGGGGAAUAUUGGACAAUGGGCGAAAGCCUGAUCCAGCAAUGCCGCGUGAGUGAUGAAGGCCUUAGGGUUGUAAAGCUCUUUUACCCGGGAUGAUAAUGACAGUACCGGGAGAAUAAGCUCCGGCCAACUCCGUGCCAGCCGCCGCCGUAA
RNAcentral lists this ribosomal RNA (449 nucleotides) under uncultured bacterium. RNAcentral's name for it is "partial 16S ribosomal RNA". It matches the Rfam family "Bacterial small subunit ribosomal RNA", at positions 29 to 523 of the family's 1533-position model. The record is from RNAcentral.